GCAGCUUCCAGGGCAAUGGUAAUUUCCAGGACUGCCCUGGAAAAAUUCUAUGUAUAAUGGUAUAUUCCAGGACAAACAUAAAAUAUAUAGAAUUUUUUUCAAACACUCUAAUCUUCGAAGGAUCUUCUUUUGUGACCAUUUUAAUUUUUAAUUGGCUUACAUUAAAGCUAAGAGAUUGUCCGCCGUUAACUGUAAAGUUUCUAUAAUAAGAGUUAAGAUUCCCUUAAUCAACCAAUCAGCGCGAAACAAUUCGCCGACCGGGUUGCGUGGAUUGGUUAGGAUGUGAUUUGUGGAUUCUCAAUACUCAAUCGUAACCAUAACCACUACCAAGUCCGUAAAUCGUAAUACGGUCUUAAAUAUAUUUCAAUGUAAAAACCAAUUUAUACUGUACAUAACACACUAUACUCAUUGGGCGCGUUCCACUUCACGACCGCAACGCUCACGGUAUCAUUUCAUCUUUGUUGUUCACCGAAAGUUAAACGAAGACAGAUGAUGCUCGCGAGCGUUGCGGUCGUUAAGUGGAACGCGCCCAUUGUCAUCUCACCGUCAUUACAUACAUUAACGCACUAUCAAAUAUUCUUCUAAGAAUUUCAAGUAUAUUAUGUAUCAAUUCACAUUAUUUGCUUUAUUUAAAAUCUGUAGACAAAUAUUGUAUAAUCUUAUGUAUAAUGUGAAUUAAUCUUAAUUUCCUAAAAUAUACUGUAGCUUAAGUCUUAUUAUAGAAACUUUGGUUGCGUUCAGUAGAGAAAUUGCUCAAUUAUCCUCUUGUCAACAUUCGACGUUGAUUUGUUGGCUCUAAAAGUAAGAGCCAAUCACGUUCAAUUGCUACUGAGCGGUUUCUCUACUGAACGCAGUAAUACAUUUGUUAUCGAAAACGACACGUGCUGUAGGUAUAUUUCAGGUUAUGUAGUCUUGAAUUGCGCGGUAACCAGUAGUUUUGGUGAAAAUACUGUACAUCGUUUUCCAUAUUUUUAGCUUUUAUAUAUCAUGUUUUCCUUACUUAAAAUUAAACAUACUAAACAAUUAAUCGUUGUGAAAUCUAGUAAUGUAACUCGUAAAAGAAAGAAAGAUUAUUGGAUAAAACUAGAAAAAACAAAACGUUGCGUUGGAAUAUUCCUUUGUAAGUCGGAUGAAAGACAUACCCUUUUAGAAAUAAAAAAAAAUAUAGAUACUAGUUCACCAAAGAUUAUAAUAAAGGAUAUUAACAAAUUGUCGAAUAUUCAGUAUACAAAUAAUGAAACUAUAUAAUAAAGUUAUAAAGUUAUGUCUAAUCAUUCAGAAAUAACUGAAUCAGUACAAAGUACCCCUGAUACUAAUAUUAAAAAGCCGAUGUAUGGGCAGUUAGGUAUGUGAUCUAAUAAAUAUUUACUAAAUAUGUUACCAAGGCUACAAAGAUUAUAUUUUUUAUGUAGUUUAUAAUUAAAACUCAGUAAAAUUUAAUCUUAAUUAUUUUUAGAUGAAGAAAAUGAUGAAAACAUAAAUCCACAUUUGACAAAAAUUGCGUUAAAGCACAAUGCUAAAAUAUUAAGAUUUCAGUGUUCAAAUAGUAAAACUAACAAUGAGUGUAAGAACACUAAAGAAUUUGAUCCUUUAGAUAUAGAUAGUUCAAUAAUACAAGAUAACAAUAUCAUUAAUUAUAAAAAACCAAUAUACAAUAAUCAAUUUG
This is a long non-coding RNA of Formica exsecta, 1666 nucleotides long. RefSeq lists it as uncharacterized. Lineage: Eukaryota; Metazoa; Arthropoda; Insecta; Hymenoptera; Formicidae. The transcript is spliced from 2 exons. The record is from RefSeq and is a predicted model, not a curated record.